CACCACACCAGCUUUCACACAAUCAGCUCAUCAAUGAUCACAUCUAUGCCAAGGAAUGUGUUGGACUGGGAGGAAAAUGGUCCCACCAGAUCCUGACUGGCUUUCUGACCCCCCAGUACAGAUGAUGUCAUAACAUGCUUCAAAUCUUCGGUUCACAUCAUUGGAUCCAAGUUCUAAAAACUCUCUUCUGGGUGGUUUCAAAGACGAGGAAACGGUUGCAGCCAUGACACAGUUUUCUGAACUUCAUGAUGCUUCGUCUAAACCAUGGACUCAGCUCAGUUCCUUCACAGCUUUGGUUUUCCUUCUUCUGACACAAAACUGUUCAGCUCUUCCCCAGGUGGUCGGUCCGUCUCAGCCGGUCCUGGCAACGGUUGGUUCUGACGUUCUUUUGUCGUGUCGGCUGGAACCUGCCGUCGAUGCUUCAGACAUGUCCAUAGAGUGGUCCAGAGGAGACCUAGACCCUUCAUAUGUCUAUGUGUGGUGGAGUGGAGAGGAACUAGAAAGUUCUAAACAUCCUGAUUAUAAAGGAAGAACGUCACUGUUAUUUGGUCAACUGGAGUCUGGAAACGUUUCACUGAAACUCUCCAACGUGAAACUGUCUGAUGAGGGAAAAUACAGAUGCAUCAUUCGUACACUGGGUCGAGGAUCUACUGUUGAA
Long non-coding RNA from Acanthochromis polyacanthus (spiny chromis), 658 nucleotides. RefSeq lists it as uncharacterized. The transcript has 4 exons. Lineage: Eukaryota; Metazoa; Chordata; Actinopteri; Pomacentridae. The record is from RefSeq and is a predicted model, not a curated record.